RNAcentral lists this ribosomal RNA (1555 nucleotides) under Weissella paramesenteroides. RNAcentral's name for it is "partial 23S ribosomal RNA". It matches the Rfam family "Bacterial large subunit ribosomal RNA", at positions 1 to 1554 of the family's 2925-position model. The record is from RNAcentral. Lineage: Bacteria; Bacillati; Bacillota; Bacilli; Lactobacillales; Lactobacillaceae.
CGGUUAAGUUAUUAAGGGCGCAUGGUGAAUGCCUUGGCACUAGGAGCCGAUGAAGGACGGGACUAACACCGAUAUGCCUCGGGGAGCUGUAAGUAAGCUGUGAUCCGGGGAUUUCCGAAUGGGGGAACCCAACUUGUCAUGCAAGUUAUCGUUUAAUGAAUACAUAGUUAAACGAAGGUAGACGUUGUGAACUGAAACAUCUCAUUAGCAACAGGAGAAGAAAGAAAAAUCGAUUCCGUCAGUAGCGGCGAGCGAACGCGGAGGAGCCCAAACCAGAGUGCUUGCACUCUGGGGUUGUAGGACUACCGUUGUGGAGUUACAAAUUUGUUUAUUAGCAGAAUCAGCUGGGAAGCUGAGCGAAACAGGGUGAUAGCCCCGUAUGCGAAAGUAAGCAAACUCCCGUGUAGGAUCCUGAGUACGGCCGGACACGUGAAAUCCGGUCGGAAACUGCGAGGACCAUCUCGUAAGGCUAAAUACUCCCUAGUGACCGAUAGUGAACCAGUACCGUGAGGGAAAGGUGAAAAGCACCCCGGAAGGGGAGUGAAAAAGUUCCUGAAACCAUGUGCCUACAACAAGUUAGAGCCCGUUAAUGGGUGAUAGCGUGCCUUUUGUAGAAUGAACCGGCGAGUUACGAUACCAUGCAAGGUUAAGGUGGAAAGACCGGAGCCGUAGCGAAAGCGAGUCUGAAAUGGGCGUUUUAGUAUGUUGUUGUAGACCCGAAACCAGGUGACCUACCCAUGUCCAGGGUGAAGGUGCGGUAAAACGCACUGGAGGCCCGAACCCGUACAUGUUGAAAAAUGUUGGGAUGAGGUGUGGGUAGCGGUGAAAUUCCAAUCGAACUUGGAGAUAGCUGGUUCUCUCCGAAAUAGCUUUAGGGCUAGCCUCGGAAGAUAGCGUGUUGGAGGUAGAGCACUGUUUUGGUGCGGGGCCCAUCUCGGGUUACUAAAUUAAGAUAAACUCCGAAUGCCAAUCACGUAUGUCCGGGAGUCAGACAGUGAGUGAUAAGAUCCAUUGUCGAAAGGGGAACAGCCCAGAUCGUCAGUUAAGGUCCCUAAGUGUGUGUUAAGUGGAAAAGGAUGUGAAGUUGCAUAGACAACUAGGAUGUUGGCUCAGAAGCAGCCACCAUUUAAAGAGUGCGUAAUAGCUCACUAGUCGAGUGAUUCUGCGCCGAAAAUGUACCGGGGCUAAACACACCACCGAAACUACGGGUGCCACAUCAGUGGCGCGAUAGGAGAGCGUUCUAAGGGCAAUGAAGUCAGACCGUGAGGACUGGUGGAGCGCUUAGAAGUGAGAAUGCCGGUAUGAGUAGCGAAAGACAGGUGAGAAUCCUGUCCACCGUAUGACUAAGGUUUCCUGGGGAAGGCUCGUCCUCCCAGGGUUAGUCGGGACCUAAGGCGAGGCCGAAAGGCGUAGUCGAUGGCUAACAGGUUGAGAUUCCUGUACCAGGUGAACAUGUUUGAACGAUGGAGGGACGCAGAAGGCUAACAGAACCCAGCGGCUGGAAAUGCUGGGCCAAGCAACAAGUCUUAGUGUGAGUCAAAUGCUUGCACUUAUA